UACAGAGGGGGCAAGCGUUGUUCGGAAUUACUGGGCGUAAAGGGCGCGUAGGCGGCCUGUUAAGUCGAACGUGAAAUCCCCGGGCUCAACCCGGGAACUGCGUCCGAUACUGGCAGGCUUGAAUCCGGGAGAGGGAUGCGGAAUUCCUGGUGUAGCGGUGAAAUGCGCAGAUAUCAGGAGGAACACCGGUGGCGAAGGCGGGUCUCUGGGCCGAUACUGACGCUGAGGAGCGAAAGCGUGGGGAGCGAACAGG
Molecule: ribosomal RNA, 253 nt
Filed under: uncultured bacterium
Lineage: Bacteria
Description: partial 16S ribosomal RNA
Rfam family: Bacterial small subunit ribosomal RNA
Source: RNAcentral